CAACAUUCCUUAUGGUGCUUAGUCUCUAGAGAUCACACCAUAUACUAGACCAAUCUAGGAGAAGUUACACUCUCCUGUGCAGAUCCUACAUAACUUUUCCACAACCCCUAAGGACUCUUGUAAGAGUUUGGAACUCAAGCCCAGCCUCUUCCAAAUGCUGAAAGAAAAAACAACAGCUGUUAAAUUUCCUUUACGUUUCUUGCAUCUUACAGUACAUAUGGUUUAGAAAACUCUGUGACAAGCUUAACAUGGAAUGGUCUUCCUAGCCUCAAGCAGCAGAAGUAACUUCUCCCAGCUAGGGUGUAGGAACAUCCAGUGAUGAUUGGAGUGAUGGUGUCCUACUUGGAAAUGGAGGUGCUGGAUGGCAGAAGAGGAUUCUUGGCCAAAUAUGGAAUCAUCUCUGUUCCUUCAUGAGGGUAAGUUUUUAAAAGUCAAACAUAUAGAGGUGGAUUUGCAGGGUGCCUUGAAGGAGGUGACCCCCCCCCCCAACUUGAUAUCAGUUGGAUAUUUCAGAGCAGCUGAGAUUAAGGGGACAUUACAAAGUUCUGAAAAUGUUCCUGAAUGUUUUUAGUUGUUAAACUGUCUAAAAGAAUACAAGCAAUGCAAAAAAAAAAAAAAAAAAAAAAAAAAAAAAAAAAAAAGGCAGAACAACUGCAUGUCCUGAACAGAAUCCAGCUUUAAUAGAGACUAAAAAUUAUUCAUAUUCCUCUUUCUUCUUAGUGACCUAAUUAGCUCUCAUCUUCUCUCUCUGCUCUCUCCACACACCUUCCUACUUCUUACAUGUUCUGUUCUCCUACUGUUGAACUCCUGUCAUCUUUAUUUCUCUCCCUUUCUACCUUUGGAAUCCCUUCCCUAAUGCCCCUUCCCUCUUUUGUCUCUUCUGUCUUUUCUAACUUCACCUCUCUGCUGUCUUCCUCUCCUCUACUUCUUUUUUUUUUUUCCAUACUCUUCUCUCUCUUUUCUCUGCACCAUUAUUUAUCUUCUUCCUUCUUCUGCACUUCUGUGCUCUGCGGUUCUGUCCUCCCCUGCCUGUUACUCCUGUCUUCCUCUUCUCCUCCUCACUCUUCUCCCGUUUCUGCUUUACCCCUUGCCGCUGAUGUGGUGACUCAUCUACUCUUAAGUUCUCCCUUAGUGUUAUCUUCUUCUGCUGGGUCAUCUUCCCUCUGUCCUCCCUCCUCUUUAGCUGGCCAUUAGUUCUCCCUGUAACAGCUCCUAUUGUGCCAUUCUUUCUUCUCCGUAUCCUCACUCUUCCUUCAUCUGCAUCUGCACUUCUCUUCUGCUGUUCUUUCUUCUCUCUAUCCUCUCUCCUCUUCUGCAUCACAUCUCUCCUUCUGCUGUUUUCUUCCUGUUUCCUCGUUGCUCUUCUCCAUCUUUGCUCCUCUUCUGCUGUUUUUUUCCCCGCUUCCUCACUCCUCUUUCAUCUGCAGCAGCUCUGCUCUUCUUUCUUCCCUCUCUCCUCUCUCCUAUUUUUUCUGUAUCUGGACCCCAUUUCUGCUCUUCCUUCUUCCCUGUAUCCUCUGCUCUUUCAUCUGCAUCCUCACUCUUCUCUUGUUCUUUCUUCCCUGUCUCCUCACUCCUUUCUUCUGCAUCUGCACUUCUCAUCUUCUUUCUUUCCUGUAUUCUCACUACUCAAUCACCUGCGUCUGCACUCUCCUUCUGCUGUCCUUUCUUCCCUGUAUCCUCAC
Molecule: long non-coding RNA, 1685 nt
Filed under: Gallus gallus (chicken)
Lineage: Eukaryota; Metazoa; Chordata; Aves; Galliformes; Phasianidae
Description: lncRNA (ENSGALG00010019718.1)
Source: RNAcentral